This 232-nucleotide long non-coding RNA is filed under the name Mytilus galloprovincialis (Mediterranean mussel). The record is from RNAcentral. Lineage: Eukaryota; Metazoa; Mollusca; Bivalvia; Mytilida; Mytilidae.
ACAGUGACAUUGUCUACAUAUAGAGAGGUAGCAGGAACACCUCUUGUGCAAUUCUUAACACCUCCAUAUACUCCAUCCACCAUCUAAAGCUGGUAUGACACAAGAUCCAAUAGUGUUGAAAAGUAAAAAGCAAUAUGAUUAUUGUAAUCAAGACUUCUCCAGUUCAUUUAAAGGAAUGUUACUGUGAUACAGGGUUUUCCAUCAUUAAGAGCUGGGCACGACAAAAGAACCA